UAAAAAACCGCAGUACACUGACUGUGCAAAGGUAGCAUAAUCAGUUGGCUUAUAAUUGAAGUCUAGAAUGAACGAAAUAACGGGUAGUAGCUGUCUCAUAAAUAAUAUUACAAUUUAGUAAGUAAGUGCAAAAACUUACAACAUUAUAAUAGACGAGAAGACCCUAGAAAUUUUUAUAUAAGUUUUUGUUGGGGCGGCAGAGUUAUAUAAUGUUGUAAGUUUUGCACUUACUUUAUAUAACAUGUAGUAAAAGAGACAGAUACUCUAGGGAUAACAGCAUAAUUUUAAAGUUUGUGACCUCGAUGUUGGACUAGGAAAUGC
This 321-nucleotide ribosomal RNA is filed under the name Chilostoma achates cingulinum. RNAcentral describes it as "Chilostoma achates cingulina partial 16S ribosomal RNA". The record is from RNAcentral. Lineage: Eukaryota; Metazoa; Mollusca; Gastropoda; Stylommatophora; Helicidae.